GCGAUAAAUGAAUGAGAAAGUCUCAGUAAAAUCCAUUGAAGUCAAAGAAAUUACAGCUUCUGCCAAGGGGUUCUCCCUGUAAAACAGGGUCUCAGCUCCACUGCACCUCGUAAGAUUGGAUUAGAUCCUCAUCGACAUUCCCAAGAAAUAAUAACUCAGAAGAAAGACAAAAUAGCAAUGAAAGGCUCGGAUAAGAAUACAGCUUUUUCGAUCAAGAAUUAUCUGAAGCAGAACUGGCGUAUCAAGCUGUUACAAUUCAUCAUCCCAGCCAAUCAAAACACAGAAACCCAUAUAAAAAAAAAACAAAACUUUGGCUCAUAUUAAGAAAUUCAACCAUGUAUUUACCGUAUCUACUUCAUUGAAUAAUCUCAG
This 372-nucleotide small RNA is filed under the name Arabidopsis thaliana (thale cress). RNAcentral describes it as "ATSL001980". The record is from RNAcentral. Lineage: Eukaryota; Viridiplantae; Streptophyta; Magnoliopsida; Brassicales; Brassicaceae.